UUGUGCUCACUUCAGCACAUAUACUAAAAAAUCAGAAUGAUACCAAGAUUAGCAUGGCCCCUGCAGGGAUGAUAUGCAAAUUUGUGAAAACAAAACAAAAACACCUUCUU
Small nuclear RNA from Pipistrellus kuhlii (Kuhl's pipistrelle), 110 nucleotides. Lineage: Eukaryota; Metazoa; Chordata; Mammalia; Chiroptera; Vespertilionidae. The record is from RefSeq and is a predicted model, not a curated record.